RNAcentral lists this ribosomal RNA (497 nucleotides) under uncultured bacterium. RNAcentral describes it as "partial 16S ribosomal RNA". It matches the Rfam family "Bacterial small subunit ribosomal RNA", at positions 28 to 507 of the family's 1533-position model. The record is from RNAcentral.
GAUGAACGCUGGCGGCGUGCCUAAUACAUGCAAGUCGAGCGAACAGACGAGGAGCUUGCUCCUCUGACGUUAGCGGCGGACGAGUGAGUAACACGUGGAUAACCUACCUAUAAGACUGGGAUAACUUCGGGAAACCGGAGCUAAUACCGGAUAAUAUAUUGAACCGCAUGGUUCAAUAGUGAAAGACGGUUUUGCUGUCACUUAUAGAUGGAUCCGCGCCGCAUUAGCUAGUUGGUAAGGUAACGGCUUACCAAGGCAACGAUGCGUAGCCGACCUGAGAGGGAGAUCGGCCACACUGGAACUGAGACACGGUCCAGACUCCUACGGGAGGCAGCAGUAGGGAAUCUUCCGCAAUGGGCGAAAGCCUGACGGAGCAACGCCGCGUGAGUGAUGAAGGUCUUCGGAUCGUAAAACUCUGUUAUUAGGGAAGAACAAAUGUGUAAGUAACUAUGCACGUCUUGACGGUACCUAAUCAGAAAGCCACGGCUAACUACGUG